Cyanistes caeruleus (blue tit) is the source of this 676-nucleotide non-coding RNA. NCBI's taxonomy places the organism in Eukaryota, Metazoa, Chordata, Aves, Passeriformes, Paridae. The record is from RefSeq and is a predicted model, not a curated record.
AGGUUUAACUGAAAAUAGCUGCUGUCCUCAGAGCUAACGGGCCAGCAUGGACAGAAGAGGUGGACAGUGUUGAUGAUAUUCCUGGUGCUCUCACAGUUCCAGAUGCAAAUGCUGAGCUUCUAUUGAAGGAAGAACAGUGGAACUGGAGAGUGAAUGGAGCCAGCCCAGCUGCACUUGAAAAACGUCUGCCCAAAGCUGUUUGUUGUGAAUCCAUGCCUGGUGUCCCUCUGCAGAGCAGCACAAGGCCAGCUCUUCCUCCAGCUGUGAUUUUUGCUUUUUCUUUCUGAAGUACCAGUUCCUGCUGAGCCCUUGGCAGCAUCCUUCCCUCCAAGGGCAUUCCUCUCCCCCUCAGGGUGUUACUGCCAGCACCAGGAGUUAGAAUAAGCCCAUCUGGAAGCCAGCUCUGCAGACUAUUUCUAGAGCAGCAAGCAAUACUAGUGAACUAAAGACCAAGCAAUACUGCAUAUUUAUACCCUGGAAAGAAACCAACAGGUGACACCCACUUCUGCAGAACACAACUGGAGUUCUCUUAUUUCUUGGCUUAUUUUCUAAAUGAAAUGUCAACCCACCCACCCAGAAGAAACCGUAAUAUUUCAAGAAUACCAGACUGCAGCAAAACGAACUAGCCUGUCUGUAAUAUAAACAGGCAACAAAUAAAUUCGUAAAAACCUUGGAA